AUAGAUUUUAUUUUCUGUUUAGCCAUUCUGCUUUCUACGAUAGCUUUCACGGAUAAAUUUAAAACGCGCUCGUUGUUCGCGUGCCUCCUUGCCAAUGCACGUCCAUCCCAUGCAUUCAAAUUGUUGGAUCCCACAUACCUUUUAAAUACUUUAGUGACCACACGCCAGGCCCAGCCAACGUCUUUCUUCUUUUAAUGUUUUCAUGUGGGUCCCAUUUUUUAAACUUUAAAUCACCCAUUACGUGAAACUUGUUGACUUUUUAAAUCAUUCCCUUCUCAAACUUCAUGUGCUGUGGAGUAGACAAUGCAACCAACUCUUGUACACCAAAGCUUCUAUACAUUGUGUGAGCUGCAUGAAGAGGUUUCGGGCCUUUCAUCAUUUUGGGCUUUUGAAUUUUAUUUUGAACUUGAGUUAGACUUGAUUUUGAGC
This 429-nucleotide long non-coding RNA is filed under the name Elaeis guineensis (African oil palm). RNAcentral's name for it is "long non-coding RNA (EGUI_LNC044485)". The record is from RNAcentral. Lineage: Eukaryota; Viridiplantae; Streptophyta; Magnoliopsida; Arecales; Arecaceae.